This 102-nucleotide Y RNA is filed under the name Prolemur simus (greater bamboo lemur). RNAcentral's name for it is "Y RNA (ENSPSMG00000000076.1)". It matches the Rfam family "Y RNA". From Rfam's summary of the family: Y RNAs are components of the Ro ribonucleoprotein particle (Ro RNP), in association with Ro60 and La proteins. The Y RNAs and Ro60 and La proteins are well conserved, but the function of the Ro RNP is not known. Lineage: Eukaryota; Metazoa; Chordata; Mammalia; Primates; Lemuridae. The record is from Rfam by way of RNAcentral.
GGCUGGUCCAAGUGCAGUGGUGUUUACAACAAAUUGAUCACAACCAAUUACAGAUUCCUUUGUUCCUUCUCCACUCCUACUGCUUCACUUGACUAGCCUUAA